Phalacrocorax carbo (great cormorant) is the source of this 1484-nucleotide non-coding RNA. NCBI's taxonomy places the organism in Eukaryota, Metazoa, Chordata, Aves, Suliformes, Phalacrocoracidae. The record is from RefSeq and is a predicted model, not a curated record.
CCGGCCGGCGGAGGGAGGAAAAGGGGGAAUUGCUCACGCCGCCUCCGGCUGCGGCAUGCGGGGCUGUGAGUCCCCGCAGCCCGCACGGUUGAAAAGCAUCCCUUUGCGCCCUGGGACGCCUGAAGGGAGACCCCGGCAGCCGUGCCGGCAUCUCCGGGGAGAGGGAGGCUCGUUACAGGGAGGGGAAACAGGAGAAAGGGAGUGUGCGGCUGGUGCCGGGACUCCUUUCGCCCGUAUUUUAAUAGUCUGGUGGGUCGCCACCCCCGAGGGAGCCUCCAGCAGCAUCGCGUACGGGAGGGAGAUGACGGGGAGGCCUGCGCUUGCAAACAGCCCCUCUUUCCCACCCCAAGCACUGUCUUAACGCACAGAGAGUGGGGCACUGGGAGACCUGGCAGGGGCUGCAGCUGUCAGAAGCAGUCAUCCGGCAAAACCAGAGACAUACUGUGAAGCAAGGAAGCAUGUGGGAGAUACCUGAAAAUGCCUAGAAGCUGCAGGGUUAAGGUGUACACACUGAAGUUGCAGCGGUAACCCAGAAUAACCACAUACCCUAAGGAAGCGAAACUUCUAGGAAGAUAACUGUGAGAGUUUUUUCAAAUAUGUCAGCCUUGCAUUGCUUCUGUUUAAGCAAUGAAAGCACCUGACGUCUGCUUAUUACGACCGGUAUUUUCUGCCUUUGCAAUGGAAUUAUUUUUGUGGUUGUCAUCCCGCCCACAAACUGCGUGUCACUCAAUAGACCUCUGAGGGUCUCAGCAUCUUGUCAGAGCUCUGGCUUCAGCUGGAUUCUGCAAGGCUGUGGUUGGGGGUCUUCAACUUCUGCUGGGCUAAGGGUGGUGUGCACCAUCCUGCAGGCUCAAGCAUUAAAUAUUUGGUUCUAUUUUUCUCUUUCACUCUGACUGGUGCCAUGCUUCCAGCUUUAUUAAAAUAUUCAAAUCACGCAAAACCCUAUGUGCCUGUCACUGCCUGCUCAUGGAAAAUGAGCCUAUGCUGAAAAUUCUACAUCUAAAGGGCUGACAUACUGGUGCCAGAUCCUGAAUUGUAGGAGUGCAAAAUGUAGAAGUACUCCUAUGCCUAAUGUUGCACAUGCAAGAUCAGUUCCUUACUCCCCCAUGAGUAUGAUCCUGUUCCAGGAAAAGGAAUCUUAAUCCAGUAAGUACAGAAGUACAACAUCCCCUUUUUGGAGUGAAAACUAAAACUGUGGCACAGCUUUAAAUCCUGGCACUGAACACUUCUGGUGUGGGCACCCGUUGCCUGUGGGCAAGUCAGUAGUCCACUGCAAUUUAAUCUCAUCCUCAGCUCAGGCGGCAGAACACGCGUAUAUAUGUCCUCUCACCUCCCGGGUAUGCUCCUGAGCAUCCCUAUUACAGCAGUGUAAUGCCAGCCAGCCAUUAAAUCUGGGCACAACUGCUGUUCAUGACAGUUGAGUUAGUAAUAAUCAUCUGUUACCGUGUGGUUCCAGAAAAGUUUUGCCAGAAAAUGCUCACGCA